This 253-nucleotide ribosomal RNA is filed under the name uncultured bacterium. Its description in RNAcentral is "partial 16S ribosomal RNA". It matches the Rfam family "Bacterial small subunit ribosomal RNA", at positions 524 to 776 of the family's 1533-position model. The record is from RNAcentral.
UACGAAGGGGGCUAGCGUUGCUCGGAAUCACUGGGAGUAAAGCGCGCGUAGGCGGGUUUUUAAGUCAGGGGUGAAAUCCUGGAGCUCAACUCCAGAACUGCCUUUGAUACUGGCGAGCUCGAGUCCGGGAGAGGUGAGUGGAACUGCGAGUGUAGAGGUGAAAUUCGUAGAUAUUCGCAAGAACACCAGUGGCGAAGGCGGCUCACUGGCCCGAUACUGACGCUGAGGUACGAAAGCGUGGGGAGCAAACAGG